UCAGAAGGGGGCUAUCGUUGUUCGGAAUUACUGGGCGUAAAGCGCACGUAGGCGGACUCUUAAGUCAGGGGUGAAAUCCCGGGGCUCAACCUCGGAACUGCCUUUGAUACUGUGAGUCUCGAGACCGGAAGAGGUGAGUGGAAUUCCUAGUGUAGAGGUGAAAUUCGUAGAUAUUAGGAAGAACACCAGUGGCGAAGGCGGCUCACUGGUCCGGUUCUGACGCUGAGGUGCGAAAGCGUGGGGAGAAAACAGG
This 253-nucleotide ribosomal RNA is filed under the name uncultured bacterium. RNAcentral describes it as "partial 16S ribosomal RNA". It matches the Rfam family "Bacterial small subunit ribosomal RNA", at positions 524 to 776 of the family's 1533-position model. The record is from RNAcentral.